Molecule: ribosomal RNA, 783 nt
Filed under: uncultured Oscillospiraceae bacterium
Lineage: Bacteria; Bacillati; Bacillota; Clostridia; Eubacteriales; Oscillospiraceae
Description: bacterial SSU rRNA
Rfam family: Bacterial small subunit ribosomal RNA
Source: RNAcentral
GGAGCUUGCUUCGAGACAGUUUAGUGGCGGACGGGUGAGUAACGCGUGAGCAACCUACCUCUCAGAGGGGGAUAACGUCUGGAAACGGACGCUAAUACCGCAUGACAUUUCAGAGCCGCAUGGUUUUGGAAUCAAAGGAGCAAUCCGCUGAGAGAUGGGCUCGCGUCCGAUUAGCCAGUUGGUGAGGUAACGGCCCACCAAAGCAAGGAUCGGUAGCCGGACUGAGAGGUUGAACGGCCGCAUUGGGACUGAGACACGGCCCAGACUCCUACGGGAGGCAGCAGUGGGGGAUAUUGCACAAUGGAGGAAACUCUGAUGCAGCAACGCCGCGUGAGGGAAGAAGGUCUUCGGAUUGUAAACCUUWRUCCUUGGUGACGAUAAUGACGGUAGCCAAGGAGGAAGCUCCGGCUAACUACGUGCCAGCAGCCGCGGUAAUACGUAGGGAGCGAGCGUUGUCCGGAUUUACUGGGUGUAAAGGGUGCGUAGGCGGCUCUGCAAGUCAGGUGUGAAAACCAUCGGCUUAACUGAUGGACUGCAUUUGAAACUGUGGAGCUUGAGUGGAGUAGAGGCAGACGGAAUUCCCGGUGUAGCGGUGAAAUGCGUAGAGAUCGGGAGGAACACCAGUGGCGAAGGCGGUCUGCUGGGCUUUAACUGACGCUGAGGCACGAAAGCAUGGGUAGCAAACAGGAUUAGAUACCCUGGUAGUCCAUGCCGUAWACGCUGUUCUAGGUGUGGGGGGUCUGACCCCCUCCGUGCCGGAGUUAACACAAUAAGUAAUCCACC